Molecule: ribosomal RNA, 664 nt
Filed under: Sarcocystis sp.
Lineage: Eukaryota; Apicomplexa; Conoidasida; Eucoccidiorida; Sarcocystidae
Description: SSU rRNA
Rfam family: Eukaryotic small subunit ribosomal RNA
Source: RNAcentral
CUCAGGGAGGUAGUGACAAGAAAUAACAACACUGGAAAUUUUAUUUCUAGUGAUUGGAAUGAUGGGAAUUUAAACCCCUUUCAGAGUAACAAUUGGAGGGCAAGUCUGGUGCCAGCAGCCGCGGUAAUUCCAGCUCCAAUAGCGUAUAUUAAAGUUGUUGCAGUUAAAAAGCUCGUAGUUGGAUGUCUGUUGGAAGCAAUCAGUCCGCCCUAUUUGUAGGGUGUGCACUUGAUGAAUUCUGGCAUCUAUGUCCCAAUGUGAUAUACGCGGUGGUGUUAUUAAUAUAUAGGUUAAUCCUGUAUAUUAUAUACCCAUUUGUGUAAUAUUGGGAUAAUACCGUUACUUUGAGAAAAUUAGAGUGUUUGAAGCAGGCUAAUUGCCUUGAGUACUGCAGCAUGGAAUAACAAUAUAGGAUUUCGGUUCUAUUUUGUUGGUUUCUAGGACUGAAAUAAUGAUUAAUAGGGACAGUUGGGGGCAUUCGUAUUUAACUGUCAGAGGUGAAAUUCUUAGAUUUGUUAAAGACGAACUACUGCGAAAGCAUUUGCCAAAGAUGUUUUCAUUAAUCAAGAACGAAAGUUAGGGGCUCGAAGACGAUCAGAUACCGUCGUAGUCUUAACCAUAAACUAUGCCGACUAGAGAUAGGAAACUGUCAUUUUUCUGACUU